RNAcentral lists this ribosomal RNA (465 nucleotides) under Vreelandella stevensii. RNAcentral describes it as "partial 16S ribosomal RNA". It matches the Rfam family "Bacterial small subunit ribosomal RNA", at positions 338 to 795 of the family's 1533-position model. The record is from RNAcentral. Lineage: Bacteria; Pseudomonadati; Pseudomonadota; Gammaproteobacteria; Oceanospirillales; Halomonadaceae.
CCUACGGGCGGCAGCAGUGGGGAAUAUUGGACAAUGGGGGGAACCCUGAUCCAGCCAUGCCGCGUGUGUGAAGAAGGCCCUCGGGUUGUAAAGCACUUUCAGUGAGGAAGAACGCCUGGUGGUUAAUACCCAUCAGGAAAGACAUCACUCACAGAAGAAGCACCGGCUAACUCCGUGCCAGCAGCCGCGGUAAUACGGAGGGUGCGAGCGCUAAUCGGAAUUACUGGGCGUAAAGCGCGCGUAGGUGGCUUGAUAAGCCGGUUGUGAAAGCCCCGGGCUCAACCUGGGAACGGCAUCCGGAACUGUCAAGCUAGAGUGCAGGAGAGGAAGGUAGAAUUCCCGGUGUAGCGGUGAAAUGCGUAGAGAUCGGGAGGAAUACCAGUGGCGAAGGCGGCCUUCUGGACUGACACUGACACUGAGGUGCGAAAGCGUGGGUAGCAAACAGGAUUAGAUACCCCGGUAGUC